UAUUGCCCACUUCACAGGGAAGAAGCAGAA
Molecule: non-coding RNA, 30 nt
Filed under: Homo sapiens (human)
Lineage: Eukaryota; Metazoa; Chordata; Mammalia; Primates; Hominidae
Source: RNAcentral